GGAAAAGCACUUUGAUUCCUAUCUCUAAGAAUAAAGAGAUAUUCAAAGCUGUACAAAUUAUUAGAGUAUUAUAUUGAUGACUCAAACCAUGAAGUUGUGUUAAAGAGUGAUUGAAUGCAAACUUAAGGAUACCACUAAGGUAUCAGAUAACUAAUUUGGCUUUAUAUUUGAUAGAUCUAUAACAGAUGCUAUCUUUACGUUCAAAAGAUUAAUGAAAAUUUAUUGGAAGAAGAAGAAGGAUCUCUAAAUGGUAUUUACUGAGCUUAUUAAAAAAAAUGGUAUUCAUUGACAUUGACCUAGAAAAAGCAUAUGAUAGAGUAUUAAGGGAAAGUUCUUUUGUAGGUGCUAGAGAAAAAGGAGUAAAUCUCAAACAUAUAAGUGUCAUUAGGGCUUGAGCAUAGAGGAGACUAGCUGGGAGAAAGCAACAGACCUUCAACAAUAUGUCCAGAAGAUUGAAGAUUUUCUACAAGCGCAGUCAACGAAGACGUCGACCAUUUGAGUGGGGGAGAAUGUCAAGGGGUAGGAAGUUUGGGGAGAAUGAUGUGUAAACUUAACCUCUUUAAGGGGCAAAAGAGACAAUUUGUAUUUUAUUUUUAUUUAUGUAAUU
RNAcentral lists this unclassified non-coding RNA (607 nucleotides) under Hevea brasiliensis (rubber tree). The record is from RNAcentral. Lineage: Eukaryota; Viridiplantae; Streptophyta; Magnoliopsida; Malpighiales; Euphorbiaceae.